RNAcentral lists this ribosomal RNA (259 nucleotides) under uncultured bacterium. RNAcentral describes it as "partial 16S ribosomal RNA". It matches the Rfam family "Bacterial small subunit ribosomal RNA", at positions 524 to 779 of the family's 1533-position model. The record is from RNAcentral.
UACAGAGGUGGCAAGCGUUGUUCGGAAUUACUGGGCGUAAAGGGCGCGUAGGCGGUUCGUUAAGUCCUGUGUGAAAUCCCCCGGCUCAACUGGGGAACUGCACAGGAACUAGCGGGCUUGAGUUCGGGAGAGGGAAGCGGAAUUCCGGGUGUAGCGGUGAAAUGGCGUAGAGUAUCCGGAGGAACACCGGUGGCGAAGGCGGCUUCCUGGACCGACACUGACGGCUGAGGCGCGAAAGCUAGGGGGAGCAAACGGGAUU